CGGGAUCCUUCGGGAUUUAGUGGCGGACGGGUGAGUAACGCGUGAGAAUCUGCCCUUAGGUUGGGGACAACAGUUGGAAACGACUGCUAAUACCCAAUGUGCCGAGAGGUGAAAGGUUAACUGCCUGGGGAUGAGCUCGCGUCUGAUUAGCUAGUUGGAGUGGUAACGGCACACCAAGGCGACGAUCAGUAGCUGGUCUGAGAGGAUGAUCAGCCACACUGGGACUGAGACACGGCCCAGACUCCUACGGGAGGCAGCAGUGGGGAAUUUUCCGCAAUGGGCGAAAGCCUGACGGAGCAAGACCGCGUGAGGGAGGAAGGCCUAUUGGUUGUAAACCUCUUUUGAUAGGGAAGAACACAAUGACGGUACCUAUCGAAUCAGCAUCGGCUAACUCCGUGCCAGCAGCCGCGGUAAUACGGAGGAUGCAAGCGUUAUCCGGAUUUAUUGGGCGUAAAGCGUCCGUAGGUGGCAAACCAAGUCAGUUGUUAAAGCGUAGAGCUUAACUCUAUAAGGGCAAUUGAAACUGGUUAGCUAGAGUGCGAUAGGGGCAAGGGGAAUUCCCAGUGUAGCGGUGAAAUGCGUAGAUAUUGGGAAGAACAUCGGUGGCGAAGGCGCCUUGCUGGGUCUGCACUGACACUGAGGGACGAAAGCUANGGGAGCGAAAGGGAUUAGAUACCCCUGUAGUCCUAGCCGUAAACGAUGGAUACUAGGUGUUGCUCGUUAUCGACCCGAGCCGUGCCGA
RNAcentral lists this ribosomal RNA (742 nucleotides) under cyanobacterium enrichment culture clone 2_16_2.3.2_C08-T7. Its description in RNAcentral is "bacterial SSU rRNA". It matches the Rfam family "Bacterial small subunit ribosomal RNA", at positions 67 to 849 of the family's 1533-position model. Lineage: Bacteria; Bacillati; Cyanobacteriota. The record is from RNAcentral.